RNAcentral lists this ribosomal RNA (351 nucleotides) under uncultured bacterium. RNAcentral describes it as "partial 16S ribosomal RNA". It matches the Rfam family "Bacterial small subunit ribosomal RNA", at positions 338 to 682 of the family's 1533-position model. The record is from RNAcentral.
CCUACGGGUGGCAGCAGUAGGGAAUGUUCGUCAAUGGGCGCAAGCCUGAACGAGCAAUGCCGCGUGAAGGAGGAAGGUCUUCGGAGCGGAAAGGUCUGGUGAAGGGGAAAAAGAGCGGAGAGAGGAAAUGGUCUCCGAUGGAUAUUACCCUUCGAGGAAGGCACGGCUAACUACGUGCCAGCAGCCGCGGGAAUACGUAGGUGGCGAGCGUUAUCCGGAAUGAUUGGGCGUAAAGGGUGCGUAGGCGGCCUGCUAAGUCUGGCGUGAAAGGGACCGGCUCAACCGGUACAGGCUCUGGAAACUGGCGGGCUAGAGGGCAGGAGAGGGCGGUGGAACUCCAUGUGUAGCGGU